Molecule: long non-coding RNA, 919 nt
Organism: Paramisgurnus dabryanus
Lineage: Eukaryota; Metazoa; Chordata; Actinopteri; Cypriniformes; Cobitidae
Source: RefSeq, a predicted model, not a curated record
UGUAAUGUGUAGAUAUUAGAAUUGAGGACUCUGCUGAACAUUGAGAAAAAAUACCGUAUUGGGAGAAGAUGGCAAGAGUCUGAUUCAAACUUCCAGUCUACCCUUAAAGAUGUGGACCGUGAGCUCAGAGUCCAACUGCAAGGCUAGAACUGAAUCAAGGGAGAGAGAGCAGUCCUCCUCCACCUGAGAAGAAUAUAUCCAGCUUUGCUUCAGAUGGGCAGGACAUUGCCAUUAGACUCUCCAAGCAGGUAGCGACAAUUGAUUUUCAGGAAUCAUGUGAUCCCUCUUGGCAUGUCUACUUCUGCUUUGAUGACACUAUUGAAGAAGAUGAUGUUUCGCGGAGUCUAAAAAGGCGAGGGAUUGAUGCCUUACAUAUGAAGACUCAUGCAAAAGCUGCUCUCAUUCAACGCAUCCAACAGCUGGAAAGAAAACUACAUCAAGCCAUUAUGAUGUUUCACCCACAUGUAUCAGACUUUGUUCCUGCAGACAACCCCCACAUGUGUCAGGCCCUCCCCAUGCCAAGCAUACAGACACUGUUAUACAAUGAUAAGAGUGAUAAUGAUGACAAUGUGGAUAAAUAUGAUAACUAGCACUACAGAUUUUUUAUUUUAUUUCUAGUCUGAUAUUGUAUUCUGUAAAAAGAAUGAUGUAAAUGUAUAGUAUGUUGCAGCAUAUCAUAGAAACCUUUAUGGUGGUGUAAUAUAAUGUUCGCCUUACUUGUGCAAACAUGAUGUUUUACUAGGUCUGAUUUAUUUUAAAACGUAGGUACUGUUUUUAAGCACACAUAAUCACACUAGUCUGUGUGAGGACAAAAUUGUGUGUUUACCAUUGUGAUGUUACUUAUUUACUGUAAUGUACAAAUGUGGUCAAUGUGUGUAAGGUGUUUUGUUUUUGUGUGCUAAGUUGAAAUGACAAAGUA